Molecule: regulatory RNA element, 75 nt
Organism: Desulfuromonas soudanensis
Lineage: Bacteria; Pseudomonadati; Thermodesulfobacteriota; Desulfuromonadia; Desulfuromonadales; Desulfuromonadaceae
Rfam family: c-di-GMP-I-GGC riboswitch aptamer
Source: Rfam
UCCGACAAGGGCAAAACCAGGGCAAUCUGGUGACGCAAAGCCACGGGUCCUUCAGGGACAGCCGGGUUGCCGAAG